RNAcentral lists this non-coding RNA (148 nucleotides) under Chlorocebus sabaeus (green monkey). Lineage: Eukaryota; Metazoa; Chordata; Mammalia; Primates; Cercopithecidae. The record is from Rfam by way of RNAcentral.
GCUGGGUGUGGUGGUGCACACCUGUAAUCCCAGCUACUUGGGAGGCUGAGGCAGGAGAAUUGCUUGAGUCUGGAAAGUGGAGGUUGCAGUGAGCCAAGAUGGUGCCACUGUACUCUAUCCUGGCCGACAGAGCAAGACUCUGUCUCAA